CUUACAGAUUCUGUUUCUUCACAACAACGAGUUAAAAAAACUUGGCAAAACAGUGAAGGAAUUGAAAGGAAUGAUAAGCUUGCAGACUCUAAGUAAUACCUUAUUUUUAUUUUGCAGAACAGCAAGUAGUAGCUUUUUAGUUUCUUAUCAGGAUGUUUCUUGUCUAUUUCUGCAUCAUUUGCCAAUAGCUUUUGAAGCUAAUUAGCAAUUUCAGCCAAAUUUGACAGAAGAAAGAGAUCUCUAAGACAUGAAAAUUCCACAAAGAGUACCUCAACUGAGGAAAAACUGCUAAACCUAUUCCAUAACCCUCUGGAAUAUGAUCCAGACUACCGGCUUUAUGUGAUAUACUUCCUUCCUUCAGUUCAGCUCCUUGACAGGAAGGUAGUUACACAAAAAGAAAGGGAGUCAGCACUUAAUCUCUAUAACCCCAAAAGGGCUUGGGUGAUGCAGUCAGUAGCUUUUGGGAAGAGAGCAGACACAUCCCUCAGGACUACGGUGGGAUCUGGCAGAUGCACUCAACCAGCCAGAAGACCGAUAAUGCCCUCAGGUAUUUAUAACACUCGAAGGAAGGCACACAUUUUUAGGUCAUUUGAAUUAGAAAUGUUUUUUUCAUUCAAACAUUAU
This 624-nucleotide long non-coding RNA is filed under the name Geospiza fortis (medium ground-finch). Its description in RNAcentral is "lncRNA (ENSGFOG00000000005.1)". Lineage: Eukaryota; Metazoa; Chordata; Aves; Passeriformes; Thraupidae. The record is from RNAcentral.